Molecule: long non-coding RNA, 585 nt
Organism: Cynara cardunculus var. scolymus (artichoke)
Lineage: Eukaryota; Viridiplantae; Streptophyta; Magnoliopsida; Asterales; Asteraceae
Exons: 3
Source: RefSeq, a predicted model, not a curated record
CGGGUCGGAUUCUCAACAAUGGCGGUAUCGCCUUGUUCAUUUCAAACCCUAGCAUUGGUGCUCGCACCAACGGAGCUUACAGAUUCGUUGCCUAGGGCAACAAGUCCAAGAACGAUCCCUUGCACCGGUCGAUUUGCGUUCGAUUUUACUGAUUCCGACUUCACAGGAUUGGAAGAUUCUCAAGAGCACUAGAGCAUAUUGCUCUAUUAUUUCUGGUCCAAUUUACAAGCGUACGAAUGAAUAUAAUGGAGAAGUUUUGUGCAUUCUAUGAUCUAAAGUUUAAGAAUUAACAUACAAUCGUCAUCAUCUGCCAUUUAUUUGCUAUUUUUGAUACCUGAAGCUGAAAAAACUAAUCCUUGAGCAAAAUCGUGUACAAGAUUUGAUUCCAAGUAUCAGGAACACCAGCAAGGCACCAAUGGCUGCAGUCCGUCAUUCCACCAGCGUACUUGGAUGGGUGCCCAUCUUUUCUCAACUGGAAACAGGAAGCUAAAAAAACAGAAAAUAGACCUCGGAAGCGAACAACCGUGAGGCUGCCACCGGAAGUUAAGGUACAUGUUAUCUGCUCUACCAUUCUUCUGGCAAUUC